Molecule: ribosomal RNA, 301 nt
Filed under: uncultured bacterium
Lineage: Bacteria
Description: partial 16S ribosomal RNA
Rfam family: Bacterial small subunit ribosomal RNA
Source: RNAcentral
CAGUCGCCACGGUAAUACAGAGGGUGCGAGCGUUAAUCGGAUUUACUGGGCGUAAAGCGUGCGUAGGCGGCUAAUUGAGUCGGAUGUGAAAUCCCUGAGCUUAACUUAGGAAUUGCAUUCGAUACUGGGAAGCUAGAGUAUGGGAGAGGAUGGUAGAAUUCCAGGUGUAGCGGUGAAAUGCGUAGAGAUCUGGAGGAAUACCGAUGGCGAAGGCAGCCAUCUGGCCUAAUACUGACGCUGAGGUACGAAAGCAUGGGGAGCAAACAGGAUUAGAUACCCGUGUAGUCCCUGUCUCUUAUAC